GACGAACGCUGGCGGCGUGCUUAACACAUGCAAGUCGAACGGACGAGUGAGAUAAGUUUACUUAACUCACAAGUUAGUGGCGGACGGGUGAGUAACACGUGGAUAAUCUACCUGCAACACCGGGAUAACGCUGUGAAAACGGUGCUAAUACCGGAUACGUUCCCUUGUGGCAUGUAUGAGGGAAGAAAGCUCAGGCGGUUGCAGAUGAGUCCGCGGCUGAUUAGCUAGUUGGUGAGGUAAAGGCUCACCAAGGCGAUGAUCAGUAGCCGGCCUGAGAGGGUGAACGGCCACACUGGGACUGAGACACGGCCCAGACUCCUACGGGAGGCAGCAGUGGGGAAUCUUCCGCAAUGGGCGCAAGCCUGACGGAGCAACGCCGCGUGGGUGAAGAAGGCCUUCGGGUUGUAAAGCCCUGUCUUAUGGGAAGAAGUCAGUGACGGUACCAUAGGAGGAAGCCACGGCUAACUACGUG
This 472-nucleotide ribosomal RNA is filed under the name uncultured bacterium. RNAcentral describes it as "bacterial SSU rRNA". It matches the Rfam family "Bacterial small subunit ribosomal RNA", at positions 28 to 507 of the family's 1533-position model. The record is from RNAcentral.